This 252-nucleotide ribosomal RNA is filed under the name uncultured bacterium. Its description in RNAcentral is "partial 16S ribosomal RNA". It matches the Rfam family "Bacterial small subunit ribosomal RNA", at positions 524 to 776 of the family's 1533-position model. The record is from RNAcentral.
UACGAAGGGGGCUAGCGUUGUUCGGAAUCACUGGGCGUAAAGCGCACGUAGGCGGAUUGCUAAGUCAGGGGUGAAAUCCUGGAGCUCAACUCCAGAACUGCCUUUGAUACUGGCGAUCUCGAGUCCGGGAGAGGUGAGUGGAACUGCGAGUGUAGAGGUGAAAUUCGUAGAUAUUCGCAAGAACACCAGUGGCGAAGGCGGCUCACUGGCCCGGAACUGACGCUGAGGUGCGAAAGCGUGGGAGCAAACAGG